UCAAACAAUGAGAACAUUACUUAUUUAUGUCACGAAUGGGCGUGACGUUUCUACAAGGUGCCGUAACACCUAACAAUAAGUAAGCUAAUUUAGUCA
Non-coding RNA from Streptococcus thermophilus CNCM I-1630, 96 nucleotides. The record is from Rfam. Lineage: Bacteria; Bacillati; Bacillota; Bacilli; Lactobacillales; Streptococcaceae.